GACAGAGGGUGCAAACGUUGCUCGGAAUUACUGGGCGUAAAGCGCGUGUAGGUGGAUUGGUGUGUCAGAUGUGAAAGCCCUGGGCUCAACCCAGGAACUGCACCUGAAACUACCAGUCUUGAGUGGUGGAGAGGGAAGUGGAAUUCCUGGUGUAGAGGUGAAAUUCGUAGAUAUCAGGAGGAACACCAGUGGCGAAGGCGGCUUCCCGGACACUAACUGACGCUGAGACGCGAAAGCGUGGGGAGCAAACAGG
RNAcentral lists this ribosomal RNA (253 nucleotides) under uncultured bacterium. RNAcentral describes it as "partial 16S ribosomal RNA". It matches the Rfam family "Bacterial small subunit ribosomal RNA", at positions 524 to 776 of the family's 1533-position model. The record is from RNAcentral.